UACGUAGGUGGCGAGCGUUGUCCGGAUUUACUGGGCGUAAAGAGCGCGCAGGCGGUCGGCCAAGUCGAGUGUGAAAGCCCCCGGCUCAACUGGGGAGGGUCACUUGAUACUGGUCGACUCGAAGGCGGGAGAGGGAAGUGGAAUUCCCGGUGUAGUGGUGAAAUGCGUAGAUAUCGGGAGGAACACCAGUGGCGAAGGCGGCUUCCUGGUCUACGACUGACGCUGUGGCGCGAAAGCUAGGGGAGCGAACGGG
Molecule: ribosomal RNA, 253 nt
Filed under: uncultured bacterium
Lineage: Bacteria
Description: partial 16S ribosomal RNA
Rfam family: Bacterial small subunit ribosomal RNA
Source: RNAcentral